GGCUUCAUAGCUCAGUUGGUUAGAGCGUCGCACCGGUAUCGCGAGGUCACGGGCCCCGUUGAGGUCC
RNAcentral lists this transfer RNA (67 nucleotides) under Acropora cervicornis. Its description in RNAcentral is "tRNA-Thr". Lineage: Eukaryota; Metazoa; Cnidaria; Anthozoa; Scleractinia; Acroporidae. The record is from RNAcentral.